Molecule: long non-coding RNA, 3055 nt
Filed under: Taeniopygia guttata (zebra finch)
Lineage: Eukaryota; Metazoa; Chordata; Aves; Passeriformes; Estrildidae
Description: lncRNA (ENSTGUG00000029522.1)
Source: RNAcentral
CCUUUAUUCAAGAUAAGGUGGUAGUUUAUAUAAGCUUCCACAUAGUUUACAGAAACAAAGACACUGUGAUUGGCAAACUAAUAUUGUUUACCUUUUCCUUAAAACUGCCUACACCUUACACUAUAAAACCUAUACUAAUUCACACCCAGACAACCCAGUGGUCCCCAUCACACCUUAAGACUAUUUCUAUCUGCGCCACAAGCUCUGAAUUUCUAACUGCGUCAGAGGCUUGAAGGCCUCACAAGGCCCAAAUCUGAGGCCUAGACUGGAGUAGCUCAAAUUUCAUAACUCAUGUCCUCUUUCUCUCAAAAAUGCUGCAACACCAACCAGUACAGGACAAACUGGGAUAAACUGGGAAUUGGACCCCAAGCAGUACAGACUGAACUGGGAGUGAUUCCAAACCAGUUCAGGGGCUAAACUGGGAACUGGCAUAAACUGGGACCAGAGCCUGAACUGGGACCAGAGCCCCAGACUGAUCUGGGAGCUGCAGUGGUCACUCACAGACCCAGCACAGGUUCAUACUGGUUUGUACUGGUUCAUACUGGUCCAUAUUGCUCCAUAGUGAUUUAUACUGGUCUGUACUGAUCCACUGUCAGCAUGGAUUGUCACAAUGUCACUCUGGAUUGUCAUAUUGUCACCAUGGAUUGUCCCGUCCCAGUGUCACCAUGGAUGGUCCUGAUGUCACCAUGGAUUGUCCCGUCCCCACCAUGGAUAGUCCUAGUGUCACCAUGGAUGGUCCUGAUGUCACCAUGGAUUGUCCCCUCACUGCCGUGGGAACCCCGUGAUGACAGCGUUGAUGAGGGUCCUUCUCCCCCGUGACUGAGCCGCAGGGCCACAUCAGAGGUCUAGCAGGGAGAGGAGGAUGAUGAAGAUCUUUCUCCUUCACAGUUGGCAUGCAAUGACCCAUUCGGACCACAGGUGAUGGCAAUAAUGACAAUGGAGACCCUUCACUACCAUGGACUGCCCUUGAUGACAUGGAGACCCUUCAUGUCCAUGGUUGGCCUUUGAUGACAAUGGAGACCCUUCAUGUCCGUGGUUGAUGAUGAUGAUGAUAAAGCAAAAGACCCAUCAAUACCGUGGAUGGACUCAUCUCCAUCAUGGACAUUCUGCAACGAUGAUGACCCUUCAUGAGCACAAAUGGUCACUGACGAUGGCAAUGAAGACCCUUCACAACCACAGAUGGUCCAUGAUGAUGACGAUGACGAAGGCAAAGACCCAUCGAGACCAUGGAUGGACCCUUGAAGACCACGGAUGGACCCAUCUUUGAUGAUGACAGUGACGGUGAAGACCCAUCAAGGCCACGCAUGGAAUCACGACCAUCAGAGACAUUCCACGAUGAUGACCCUUAAUGACCGCAGACGUUCCUUGACAAGGGCGACGAUGACCCAUCACGGCCAUGAAGGUUCUGUGACGAUGCCAAUGCCAACGACCAGUCACGAGCAUGAACGUUCCAUGAUGAUGGCAGUGCCUCCCCAUGACCCCAGCCAGCCCCAUCCCCCUCCAGUUCCCGCAGGAUCUGCAAACACGGCUCCACCACGUGCCACAUCUGCAGCACAGUGGCCACCAUCAAACCCCACCUGGAACCCUCCAGGACCCCCCAGAUCCUCCCCAGGAUUCCCCAAAAGCCAUCCUAGAACUUCCAGGAUCCCUUGGGACCUCCCAAACCCCACCCAGGACCCCUUGAGGUCCUCCAGGACCCCCCAAAUCCCCCCCAGUACCCUCCUGAACUCCCAGAUUCCCUCAGGAACCCCAAAUCCUCCCCAGGACCACCAAACCCCCCAGGGCCCCGUUUUUAUAAUGCCUCAAAUUGGGAUUAAAAGUUGACUUUCCAGGAAAUUCAUGGGGUUUUGCUGGGAAAAAAGAGAAAUUCACUGGAAAAUCAGCGUUUUAUCCCAAUCUGAAGCAUUAAAAUCCAGGAAUUUCCUGGAAAAUUGACUUGUUAUGCCAAUUUGGGACAUUAAAAACUGAGAAUCCCAGGUUGGGACAUCUGGGGAGUCCUAAGUCCCACUUUUGGGGAUUUCUAUUAUUUUAGGGGUUCCCAUGGAAUUCCUGGAAUUUGGGGGAGCCUGGUCUCAUUUUUGGGGUGUCCCUACCCCGUCUUCCCUCCCCCUCUUCUCCAUUUCGGUUUCCACCUCAAUGGCCACGCCCCUUUCUCCAAUCCAACCAAUCAGAGCUUGGGGCGGAGCCUGGGGGCAGGGCCUGGGGUGGGGGGUGGUGAAUGAGGUCCCGGAAGGUAAUUGGGGUCCUGGAAGGGGAAAGGUCGCCUUGAGAGUGGGGGGCUCAGGGUCCUGUCUGGGGAAAUGAAGGCCCUGAGGGGCUAAGUGGGAUCCUGGAAGGGUAAAUGAGGGCUCUGAAGGGUUCAAUGGGGUCCUACAGAUGGAAUUCACAACCCUCGUUUAACCUGCCAAGACCCCCAUUUACCCUCUUGGCCCCCCAGUUUACCCUUUCAGGACCCUAAAUGACAUCUGUAGGACCCUCAUUCCCCUGCCAGGACCCAACUCACCCCCUCAAGACCCUGUUUUCCCUUUCAGGACUCCACGUGUCCCCACCACCAUGGAAACAGCAUCCGAACGUGACUGGGCCUUGCUGGGUUGGUCCCUGUCCCCAAGUGUCCCCAGUGAUGUCACCCCGGGAAUCCCCAUCAGGAUUUGGGGCAGUUUUAAUGAAAACUCUCAGAAAAUUCCCCAAAUUUGACUCAAAUCCCACCCUGAGAUAGGGGGCGGGGACAAAUGACACCAGUGAUGUCCCUGAUGAUGUUACCACCCCGAUGACAUCACAGCAGUGACAUCAGUGUCCUCACAGUAGUCUCGGGAUGUCCUCGAUGGCUCUUUGGCACUGCUCGGCCACUGCGCGGCCACCGGGUCCACCAUGGCAACUUGAGAGGAGCGUGCGGAUGUCCCCAAGUGUCCUCAGCAGGUGACGUGUGGCCAGGCAGGCGCUGGCCUCCCACAGCCGCUCAGCCUCGGUCGCCGCGGCCACCAAGGCCGCAGGGACAUCGGGGGACAUCUCAUUUGUCCCCUUCAGGGUGGCCUCGAUGUCCCCGAGCCGGCGCUGC